GAUGAACGCUGGCGGCGUGCCUAAUACAUGCAAGUCGAGCGAACGGACGAGAAGCUUGCUUUUCUGAUGUUAGCGGCGGACGGGUGAGUAACACGUGGAUAACCUACCUAUAAGACUGGGAUAACUUCGGGAAACCGGCGCUAAUACCGGAUAAUAUUUUGAACCGCAUGGUUCAAAAGUGAAAGACGGUCUUGCUGUCACUUAUAGAUGGAUCCGCGCUGCAUUAGCUAGUUGGUAAGGUAACGGCUUACCAAGGCAACGAUGCAUAGCCGACCUGAGAGGGGGGUCGGCGACACUAGAAGGUGGACACCGUCACGAGUACUAAGGGAGGGCGCAGUAGGGUAUGUUACGCAAUAGGCGGAAACAUGACAGAGGAACCGCGAGGCAGAGGUAGAAGUGUUGGGAUCGGAAAAACCUGUUUUUAGGGGAAAACAUAUGUGGAAGGUAACGAGGCGAUAUUGACGGUAACUAAUCAGAAAGCCACGGCUAACUACGUG
This 497-nucleotide ribosomal RNA is filed under the name uncultured bacterium. RNAcentral describes it as "partial 16S ribosomal RNA". It matches the Rfam family "Bacterial small subunit ribosomal RNA", at positions 28 to 507 of the family's 1533-position model. The record is from RNAcentral.